Arabidopsis thaliana (thale cress) is the source of this 212-nucleotide small nucleolar RNA. It matches the Rfam family "Plant small nucleolar RNA U3". Rfam says of the family: Small nucleolar RNAs (snoRNAs) are involved in the processing and modification of rRNA in the nucleolus. There are two main classes of snoRNAs: the box C/D class, and the box H/ACA class. The record is from Rfam. NCBI's taxonomy places the organism in Eukaryota, Viridiplantae, Streptophyta, Magnoliopsida, Brassicales, Brassicaceae.
ACGACCUUACUUGAACUAUAGGCUCGUACAUCUGUUUUCUUGAGAAAAUUUCUCAAGAGACAGGCCCUAAACCCUUGUUGAUGAACCGUGACCGUGCGGCUUGAGCGUGAUUGACGGCUACGAUUGUCCUUGGAUGCAUCCGGUGCUGUAGAGGAUGGUUACUCGGCUCGGUUCUCCCUUGCCGGGGUGGUCGCACGGCGGUCUGACAGGUU